UCCCUGGUGGCUCAGAUGGUCAAGCGUCUGCCUGCAACGCGGGAGACCCGGGUUCAAUCCCUGGGUUGGGAA
Molecule: non-coding RNA, 72 nt
Organism: Bos taurus (domestic cattle)
Lineage: Eukaryota; Metazoa; Chordata; Mammalia; Artiodactyla; Bovidae
Source: Rfam